AGCUAACGCAUUAAGCACUCCGCCUGGGGAGUACGACCGCAAGGUUGAAACUCAAAGGAAUUGACGGGGGCCCGCACAAGCGGUGGAGCAUGUGGUUUAAUUCGAAGCAACGCGAAGAACCUUACCAGGUCUUGACAUCCUUUGACCACUCUAGAGAUAGAGCUUCCCCUUCGGGGGCAAAGUGACAGGUGGUGCAUGGUUGUCGUCAGCUCGUGUCGUGAGAUGUUGGGUUAAGUCCCGCAACGAGCGCAACCCUUAUUGUUAGUUGCCAUCAUUYAGUUGGGCACUCUAGCAAGACUGCCGGUGACAAACCGGAGGAAGGUGGGGAUGACGUCAAAUCAUCAUGCCCCUUAUGACCUGGGCUACACACGUGCUACAAUGGGAAGUACAACGAGUCGCGAAGUCGCGAGGCUAAGCUAAUCUCUUAAAGCUUCUCUCAGUUCGGAUUGUAGGCUGCAACUCGCCUACAUGAAGCCGGAAUCGCUAGUAAUCGCGGAUCAGCACGCCGCGGUGAAUACGUUCCCGGGCCUUGUACACACCGCCCGUCACACCACGA
RNAcentral lists this ribosomal RNA (556 nucleotides) under Enterococcus durans. Its description in RNAcentral is "bacterial SSU rRNA". It matches the Rfam family "Bacterial small subunit ribosomal RNA", at positions 850 to 1407 of the family's 1533-position model. The record is from RNAcentral. Lineage: Bacteria; Bacillati; Bacillota; Bacilli; Lactobacillales; Enterococcaceae.